Molecule: non-coding RNA, 225 nt
Organism: Cinara cedri
Lineage: Eukaryota; Metazoa; Arthropoda; Insecta; Hemiptera; Aphididae
Source: the annotation of a GenBank genome assembly
AAAGGAUUGGUCAUGUGACAUUGAUUAGCAAAGCUACAAGUCGAAGCGUGUGGACAACAGGUCCAUAAUGAUGGGGAACUGAUGAGGACAUAGUAUACAAAUGAGACACACUGUAAAAACUUUCCUUAGACACAUUUGAUCAUUAAGCUAUCAGCACAGGUAUAAGGGUUUUAAAUGACAGAAUCUUACUCGAGCACAGACCUAAUGAAAUAUGUAUUAUACUUA